AUUAUGUUCCCUGGUUGGGUUUCCAGUUUCUUUAAAAAAUAAUUGCAAGUAUUAUUAAAUAUUAAAUAAUAAGUUUGAUUAUGCCUUAAAUAUUUAGUUUAAUAUAAUAAUUAUCAUGUAAUUUUUAUAAAAUAAAAUUUUAUCUUCAGUGAUUAAUAUUAUUAGGAAUAGUUAACUACUUAUAAAGAUUUAUAUAAAAAUUAUUGGUUAAAUUUGUGCCAGCAUCCGCGGUUAAACUAAUAAUAAUAAAUUAAAUUUUAUUAAUUAUAUAUAAUUUUAAUACUAUAAAUAAAACUAUUAUAAGUAAAAUUUUAAUUAAUAUUAAUUUUUAAAUUUAUAUGAAAAUAAAUUAUUAAAAUAGGAUUAGAUACCCUAGUAUAUAUUAUUGUAAAUUAAUAAUUGAAUUAUUAUUAGAAAUAAACUAUAAACUUAAAUAAUUUGGCGGUAAAUUAAUUUCUUAGAGGAACUUGUCAUAUAAUAGAUACUACCCUUUAAACCUUACCUUUAUUUAUUAAUUAGUCUAUAUGCCGCCGUUAUAAGGAUAUUCUUAUUGGAUAAAUUUCCUCAAUUAUUCAUUUAAAUAAUAUCAAGUCAAGGUGUAGCUAAUAUAAAGGAAAUAGAUGAGUUACAAUUUAUACACAUAUAUAAAUACAGAUUAAUAAUAGAAUUAUUAUUAUAAAGGUGGAUUUAAAAGUAAUUUUUAUAUUAAUAUGUCUUAAUGAAUUUAAUUUAAUUUAAGUACAUAUUGCCCGUCGCUCUCAUUAAAUAAAUUGGGAUAAGUCGUAACAUAGUAGGCCCACCUGAAGGUGGGCCUAGAUUGAAAU
This 824-nucleotide non-coding RNA is filed under the name Tanystylum orbiculare. Lineage: Eukaryota; Metazoa; Arthropoda; Pycnogonida; Pantopoda; Tanystylidae. The record is from RNAcentral.